This 486-nucleotide ribosomal RNA is filed under the name uncultured bacterium. Its description in RNAcentral is "partial 16S ribosomal RNA". It matches the Rfam family "Bacterial small subunit ribosomal RNA", at positions 30 to 507 of the family's 1533-position model. The record is from RNAcentral.
AUUGAACGCUGGCGGCAUGCCUUACACAUGCAAGUCGAACGGCAGCACGGGUGCUUGCACCUGGUGGCGAGUGGCGAACGGGUGAGUAAUACAUCGGAACAUGUCCUGUAGUGGGGGAUAGCCCGGCGAAAGCCGGAUUAAUACCGCAUACGAUCUACGGAUGAAAGCGGGGGACCUUCGGGCCUCGCGCUAUAGGGUUGGCCGAUGGCUGAUUAGCUAGUUGGUGGGGUAAAGGCCUACCAAGGCGACGAUCAGUAGCUGGUCUGAGAGGACGACCAGCCACACUGGGACUGAGACACGGCCCAGACUCCUACGGGAGGCAGCAGUGGGGAAUUUUGGACAAUGGGCGAAAGCCUGAUCCAGCAAUGCCGCGUGUGUGUAGAAGGCCUUCGGGUUGUAAAGCACUUUUGUCCGGAAAGAAAUCCUUGGCUCUAAUACAGUCGGGGGAUGACGGUACCGGAAGAAUAAGCACCGGCUAACUACGUG